AACGCACAUUGCGCCCGCCAGCACUCUGGCGGGCAUGCCUGUCCGAGCGUCAUCUCAACCCUCGACGGACCCCCCUUGGGGCGUCGGCGUUGGGGGACGGCGCGCCCGCCCCGACCCCGGGGCAGGCGCCGCCGCCCCCGAAAUGAAGUGGCGACCCCGCCGCGGCCCUCCCCUGCGCAGUAGCAAACGCUCGCACCGGAGCCCGGCGGGGCCCUGCCGUGAAACCCCCAACCCAGCCAAGGUUGACCUCGGAUCAGGUAGGAAUACCCGCUGAACUUAA
This 280-nucleotide unclassified non-coding RNA is filed under the name uncultured fungus. RNAcentral's name for it is "partial contains 5.8S ribosomal RNA, internal transcribed spacer 2, and large subunit ribosomal RNA". Lineage: Eukaryota; Fungi. The record is from RNAcentral.